Molecule: ribosomal RNA, 470 nt
Filed under: uncultured Anaerolineaceae bacterium
Lineage: Bacteria; Bacillati; Chloroflexota; Anaerolineae; Anaerolineales; Anaerolineaceae
Description: bacterial SSU rRNA
Rfam family: Bacterial small subunit ribosomal RNA
Source: RNAcentral
AAACUUAAGGAAUUGACGGGACCCGCACAAGCAGCGGAGCGUGUGGUUUUAAUUCGUUGCUACACGAAGAACCUUACCUGGGUUUGACAUAUAGGUUGUAGGGAACUGAAAAGGGACCGACCCUUCGGGGAGCCUAUACAGGUGUUGCAUGGCUGUCGUCAGCUCGUGUCGUGAGAUGUUCGGUUAAGUCCGCUAACGAGCGCAACCCUCGUCGUAUGUUAUAUGUGUCAUACGAGACUGCCGGUAAAAGCCGGAGGAAGGUGAGGAUGAUGUCAAGUCAGCAUGACCUUUAUAUCCAGGGCUACACACACGCUACAAUGGUCUGUACAAUGGGUAGCCAAGCCGCGAGGCGGAGCCAAUCCUGAAAGCAGGCCUCAGUUCAGAUUGCAGUCUGCAACUCGACUGCAUGAAGCCGGAGUUGCUAGUAACCGCAGGUCAGCAAUACUGCGGUGAAUACGUUCCCGGGUCUU